RNAcentral lists this ribosomal RNA (450 nucleotides) under uncultured Gammaproteobacteria bacterium. RNAcentral describes it as "bacterial SSU rRNA". It matches the Rfam family "Bacterial small subunit ribosomal RNA", at positions 45 to 490 of the family's 1533-position model. The record is from RNAcentral. Lineage: Bacteria; Pseudomonadati; Pseudomonadota; Gammaproteobacteria.
GGCCUAACACAUGCAAGUCGAGCGGUAGAGAGAAGCUUGCUUCUCUUGAGAGCGGCGGACGGGUGAGUAAUGCCUAGGAAUCUGCCUGGUAGUGGGGGAUAACGUUCGGAAACGGACGCUAAUACCGCAUACGUCCUACGGGAGAAAGCAGGGGACCUUCGGGCCUUGCGCUAUCAGAUGAGCCUAGGUCGGAUUAGCUAGUUGGUGGGGUAAUGGCUCACCAAGGCGACGAUCCGUAACUGGUCUGAGAGGAUGAUCAGUCACACUGGAACUGAGACACGGUCCAGACUCCUACGGGAGGCAGCAGUGGGGAAUAUUGGACAAUGGGCGAAAGCCUGAUCCAGCCAUGCCGCGUGUGUGAAGAAGGUCUUCGGAUUGUAAAGCACUUUAAGUUGGGAGGAAGGGCAGUAAAUUAAUACUUUGCUGUUUUGACGUUACCGACAGAAUAAG